Molecule: ribosomal RNA, 165 nt
Filed under: Triticum aestivum (bread wheat)
Lineage: Eukaryota; Viridiplantae; Streptophyta; Magnoliopsida; Poales; Poaceae
Description: partial small subunit ribosomal RNA
Source: RNAcentral
AUGAACCAUGGCUUGGGAGCUGCCGCAGGGUGUGCGAAGUUGCAGAUUGAUUAUAUAGCAACAACCAGGAACUACCAUACAAUCUCCAUAUCACACAUUCCACCUAUGAGUAUGAAGAUCGGUGACAAGGCAAGAGCAAUCAUCACUAAGGUCUUAUAUGCUUAG